GCCUGGAAAUCCACGCGGAUUCCCGGAGACGGCGCCUCUGCUCUGCGGGUUCGUGGCGAGGAAGUCCACCCACUGCUCCCGGGCGCAGGUCUGCAGGUCCGCGCCCACUGCCCGCGGCGCCACUGACCAUGUCGGUGACUGAUCAGGCUUUUGUCACACUGGCCACCAAUGACAUCUACUGCCAGGGCGCCCUGGUCCUGGGGCAGUCACUGAGGAGACACAGGCUGACGAGGAAGCUGGUGGUGUUGAUCACUCCUCAGGUGUCCAGCCUGCUCAGGUGCUGUCCAAUGUCGAUGAGCUGUUUGACAGGGGAGAGUUUUCUGCGGCCCCGGACCCCGGAUGGCCGGAUUGCUUCAAUAGCGGGGUGUUUGUCUUCCAGCCUUCUCUCCACACGCAUAAACUCCUGCUGCAGCACGCCAUGGAGCACGGCAGCUUUGAUGGGGCGGACCAAGGCUUACUGAAUAGUUUCUUCAGGAACUGGUCAACCACAGACAUCCACAAGCACCUGCCGUUCAUCUAUAAUUUGAGUAGUAACACUAUGUACACUUACAGCCCUGCCUUCAAGC
RNAcentral lists this small RNA (566 nucleotides) under Pongo abelii (Sumatran orangutan). RNAcentral's name for it is "processed transcript". The record is from RNAcentral. Lineage: Eukaryota; Metazoa; Chordata; Mammalia; Primates; Hominidae.